UCUCCACUUGCCGGGAAGGGUUGGGAGGAGAUAGAGAUGAGUGAAGUCACCAAGAAAGCCAGGGUAGAUAAAGGGGAAAAGAAGGUCAUGGAGAAGAGGCGGAGCUCGCAAAGGAGACCGAAAAGAAAUGUUUAGGGAGAAGAAGAAGGACCAGGAGCUGGUAUCCUGGAACCCCGGGAGGAAAAUGUUAUGCGGAGGGAGUAAUCAAGAUAGCCAUGCAUGGGCGCCACAUGCCGGGGAAGCAGACUAUACUCUACGGCAUUGUUCAUUACGACAAAGGACUGGAGAGAAGUCCCGGGUCUGUGAAGAGGGAACUGCUUAAAUAAAAAUGAACCACCGCUGGAAGAAAGAAAGAGGAUGUACUACAGGAUAUAGCGCUGCCAGGGAAAGCCGAGGACGCUCCUUCUUUGUCACCAGCAAAGACUCAUUCAGUUCAGUGACAGCCCAGCCAGUCCUACCCUGGUGGCUGGACACUCAGAGGUGAGCGGGGAGGUCUGGACCUUUGAAGAGCUCACAGCCUCCUGACAUGUAAGCAAGCUGGCUGUGACGUGGAAUGACAAGGUGCCCUCUUACAGCAUGACUGAGGGAGGCAGCGAACGCAGACGAACACCUGAGGAAGCUGUAUGAGCGUGUGUCUUGGGAAGGUGGUGAGCUCAUUAAGUAAUAGGUGGAUUUUAGAAGAUGAAUAAGACUUUACCGGGCAAAAGAAGGGGUAUUACUAUCUACAUUACAGAAGUGAAAGAGAUUAUAAAGGAAUACUAUGAAUACCUGUUUGCCAAUAAAUUAGAUAAUUGAGGUGAAAUGAACAAAUUUCUAGGAGACAAACUGCUGAAACUGACUCAAGAGGAAACAGAAAAUCUGAGUAGACCUAAAGCUCAUAAGCCGACUGAAACCAAGAGCACAGGCAGCAGAAGGAAAAAGAGAUAAAUUGGACUUUGUCAAAAUUAAGAACUUUUGUGUUGUGAAGGGCACCAUCAAAAAUGUAAACAUAUUUGCAUACCUGAUAAGGGAUUUGUAGUUAGAAUAUUUAAAGAACUCAGAUCUCAUUAAGAAAAGACAAAUAAUUAAAAAAUGGGCAAAUGAUUGACAUACACAUUUUUUCAAAGAAGAUAUACAAUUGGCUAAUAAAUACAUAAAAAGAUGUUCAACACCAUUAGCUAUCAUGGAAAUGUAAAUUAAAACCACAACAAGAACCCCCUGGCACUCAGUAGCAUGGCUAGAAUAAAAAAGUCAGGUAACAAGUGUUGGUGAGCACGUGGAGGAACUGGAACCCACAUCCACAGCUGCUGGGAGCGUGAACACGGCAGCCACUGGGAAGACAGUCUGGCAGGGCAUCAAAAGGUUAAACACGGAGUUACCAUCGGACCCAGCAGGUCCACUCCUGGGUUUAUAUCCCCCAAAUAAAAACAUACAUUCAUACAAAAACUUACACGAGUGCUCAUAGCGGUGUUAUUUGUAACGGCCCGGAAAUGGGAACAACUCCCACAUCCAUCAACUGACAAACGGAACAAAAUGUGGCACAUUCAUGUGAUAGAAUAUUUGGCAAUGCAAAGGCAUCGAGUGCUGAUACACGGGGCAGCAUGGACAAACCUUGAAAACAUGGUGGUGAGUGAAUGAACUCAGUCAUAAAAGACCAGUUAUAUGAUUCCAUUUACAUGAAAUGACCAGAAGAGGCAAAUUUAUAGAGACAAAAAGUAGACUAGUGGUUGCCUAGGGCUGGGGGGAAAGGAAGUGAAGGCUAAUGGGUGUGGGGUUUUAGGGGAGGUAAUGAAAAUAUCCUAAAAUUGAUUGUGGUGAUGGUUGUACAACUCUG
Equus asinus (donkey) is the source of this 1813-nucleotide long non-coding RNA. Lineage: Eukaryota; Metazoa; Chordata; Mammalia; Perissodactyla; Equidae. The record is from Ensembl.